Molecule: non-coding RNA, 72 nt
Organism: Caerostris extrusa
Lineage: Eukaryota; Metazoa; Arthropoda; Arachnida; Araneae; Araneidae
Source: the annotation of a GenBank genome assembly
GGUUCCGUGGUGUUGUGGUUAUCACGUUCGCUUUCCGCGCGAAAGGACCCCUGUUCGUUCCCGGCGGAACCA